This is a long non-coding RNA of Rosa chinensis, 2158 nucleotides long. RefSeq lists it as uncharacterized. NCBI's taxonomy places the organism in Eukaryota, Viridiplantae, Streptophyta, Magnoliopsida, Rosales, Rosaceae. The record is from RefSeq and is a predicted model, not a curated record. The transcript is spliced from 2 exons.
CAAAUAUAUUGAGCUCUAAUUAGAUCGAACAACCCAGACCAUUCAAGAAGGAUCGAGGUUGAGACCCGCGUGCGCGACCCGGAAACCCGGAAAGAGGAUCCAACCGGCGCCCCACCUUCCGGUCAUCUCCCGGUGGCAGACCACCUACAUUCAAACCCUCUCCUUAGCGCCGAUGUUCUCUUGUGCGGUGGAUUAACCAAUCGGCGACGAACGGCGAUGGUACGACGUCCAGAAGCCGCUGCAAUUUCCGGCGAUUAUCCUUCAAUUUCCGGCAAUGAUACAGCAGUGUACUGGUAUCAUUUGAAUCCUCUCGUCAUCACCGACCUUUCUGUGCUCUUAGAUCGUUCAUGCAUUAGCUGUAGAGAGAGAAUCGACAUUCGGAAGCUUUGACAGCUUCGAUGAGUUUUCCAGCGAAGCCGGCGACGGAGUGAGCUGCAUGUGGUACGAAAAUUUAUCCCCUCCUUAUGCUCUACAUGAUUAUGUAAUUGGUUUUCAAAUUUGGUUGGGUUUUGAUGAAUUGGUUUGUGGGUUGGUUUUGAGUUCGACGCUGUCACCGAUGCCGGCGACUUUUCCGGCUCUUCUUGGUCCGUUUCUGACUUGACCGCUUCCGUAGGCGAGGGCUAACCACAAUUCGGGAAGCCUGUUGGGCCAAAUUGAUGAUUUUGGGUUAUGUUGAGUUUUGGUGGAAAUGACGCUAUUGAUGAAGUGUUGAGAAAGUGAAGGAAAAGGGGAGAAGUUCUUCUGCUGUCAUGUUCUUCGUUAAGAACAUUGGACUGCCAAUUUGGACUCUGCUUUUGAUUUAAUCUGAUAUCAAGGUUAGUUGGGUUCAGUUCAAAGUUCUGAGCAGUGCCUUGUUUAGUUAGGUUAUGGAAUUUGUUGGUUUGUAUGCUUACUGUGAAAUUGUGUUAUGAUAAUGAUGAGUAGAGAUCGAUGUGAUUUCAUUCUUGGUUGGUGGCUAUGACAAUUGAACAGCAUGUUACGAUUAAGUUGGAUUUGCAAGCUCGACGUUUUAUCAAUGUUGCCAAGGCAGCUUGUUAUUGAAUAUUGUUCUUCUUGGUUGUGAAGUUGGACUUUUGACAAUUGUUGUGAAGUGAUAAGUAAAGAAAAUGAACUAAUAUAUUGGGUGACCUUAGUAAAUUCGGAUUAGCCCAAUUAUCGAUCUUGUAAAUGUUGGUCAAACUUGGUCAACUCCUGGUCAAACUAGGAAAAGUUGGUUUGACGAUUUGUUAAUCGUUGAGAUUUCAAUUAUUUGUUCGAUAAACUAUUAAUAAUCAAUAUGUCGAAAAUUAGGAUUCAAUUACUCAAGGAGCGGAAGGUUCAUGAUUCUCGGACAACGUUAAAGGUUAGAGUAUCGGAAUCCAGAUAGGGGACUUAGGACUCACUCGGUUAGUUGUUUUCAUUUAUAGUUAAACGUUAAUGCAUAUUUGAGUUGCAUGACUUGGUUUAUUAAAUAUAUCAUAUGGUAACCAUUUUUUUUUUUUUGAUAUAUUAUUGAUGGCCUGAGAGUGAAAGGAACAUAGCGAUUCCCUGGGCUUUGAUCCCCUAAACCUCUGGAGGGGCCGUAUGGACGGAAUCAUAUUCGACAUCCCCUGAGGUGUGGCACUAUUUCUAGGUAAUAUGGCGUAAGUGGAAACUCUCACUACACUUACCUAGUGAUGACUUUAUUUGAGGUAAGGCCAUGUAGUUGGUCCAUGAGAUCGGCGAUCAGGUACUAUAUAUUCAUUUGAGUUUCGUGGAUUGGAUUUUGAGUCUGAAAAAUAUUUUAAGUUUGUUGUUCUAUAAAUGAAAUGAUUUGAGUACGUUUUCAUACUGGGUACCCAAAAAUUAUAUUUUAUGUGUCGGUUUUCAAACCUAGUCGGGUGAAGCCCCUAUUGAGCACCGAGGAUGAAAGCUCACCCCUACAACAGUGUGGAUGCAGGUACUGUGCACUGGUAACGGGACUGGAGCAGAGGGAGCUGGGUGUGCAGAUUUCAAUAGUAUAUCUUAAUGGAAAUCAAGUUCCGAGUUCCAAUCUUAUUCUUGUUCCUUAAAGUUGUAUUUUUGGAACUUGUCAAAAUUUGUUUGUUGUAAGCUAAGUCCAUUAUUUCUCGAUUGAUUGCAACGUCAAGUCCUAGAUGACCAUUUGAAUUUAAAGUCUUAGAAAUGUUUUCACCUUAAA